Pelobates cultripes (western spadefoot toad) is the source of this 220-nucleotide non-coding RNA. The record is from the annotation of a GenBank genome assembly. Lineage: Eukaryota; Metazoa; Chordata; Amphibia; Anura; Pelobatidae.
CCUGGGUACAUGCCUCAUCUUGUGUUGCUUUAUGUAUGAUGUCAUGAAAUACAACAAAUCCACAUUCCUGCUGCUAUGCACAAAGGUUUAAUCACUAAAUAAUGUAUUUUAGUGAACUGAAUAUAGAGUUGGAAACUUUGGGCAAAAUAAGCCAAUAGCUUAUUUGGAAAUAUGAAACUCUGCUGCAAAGGCAGCAGACAAAAGAACUGCAGUUUUUUUU